This 90-nucleotide microRNA precursor is filed under the name Nomascus leucogenys (northern white-cheeked gibbon). Its description in RNAcentral is "miRNA (ENSNLEG00000024126.2)". Lineage: Eukaryota; Metazoa; Chordata; Mammalia; Primates; Hylobatidae. The record is from RNAcentral.
GAAUACUGUCCGUACAAACUCUGCAGUGUUGAAUGGUGAGUUUGUUUGCUCAUUGAUUGAAUCACUGCAGAGUUUGUACGGACCGGAUUC